Molecule: ribosomal RNA, 286 nt
Filed under: uncultured rumen protozoa
Lineage: Eukaryota
Description: partial 18S ribosomal RNA
Rfam family: Eukaryotic small subunit ribosomal RNA
Source: RNAcentral
UGGUGGUGCAUGGCCGUUCUUAGUUGGUGGAGUGAUUUGUCUGGUUAAUUCCGAUAACGAACGAGACCUUAACCUGCUAACUAGAUACUUUUAUUCUAUAAUUGUCAUCUUCUUAGAGGGACUAUGUAAUUAAAAUACAUGGAAGUUUGAGGCAAUAACAGGUCAGUGAUGCCCUUAUAUGUCCUGGGCUGCACGCGUGCUACACUGAUGCAUACAACAAGUGCCUAACCAGACAUGGUACGGCAAUCUCGAAUAUGCAUCGUGAUGGGGAUAGAUCUUUGCAAUA